This 494-nucleotide long non-coding RNA is filed under the name Homo sapiens (human). RNAcentral's name for it is "non-protein coding lnc-ZNF577-4:2". Lineage: Eukaryota; Metazoa; Chordata; Mammalia; Primates; Hominidae. The record is from RNAcentral.
UGAUGGGCAGUGGUACCUUCCAGUUCAGUAGAAACAUUGUUGUGUCGCUGGGUGGAUACAUUUCUUCCUUUGGAACCAAGACCUCUGAGCCAACACAGCAUAAGGUCAUGAGGAUGGGAAGCAGAAAUUUUUCUAGUGGAUCACUAAAGAUCACUCAUCCUGGGAGAUACCAUCAGCCACGUUAUGAGACUACUCCAGCAGUUCUGUGGUGAGGAAGCAACUUUCCAGCAACAACUCAUUAUCUAUGGGAUUAUGUCACCUGGAAGUGAAUUUUCUAGCCUCAGUCAAGCCUUCAGAUAAUUGCAGCCUCAGCUCACAUCUGACUACAAACUCAUGAGAGAUUUCAAUCCAGAAACACUCAAGCCAGAAACUUCCAAAUUCCUGACCCAGAGAAAUUGUAACAGAUAGUAAAUUAGAUUACUAUUGUUUUAAGCCAUGUUUUGAGGGUGAUUUGCCUGCAGCAAUAGAUAACUAACACAGGGACAACCUGGUAU